CCAACUGUCAGUUACCUUCUGCUGCCACCUGCCUCUCUGCUGUGACCUUUUCAGGCCCAGAUUCUGGAACAGAUUCAGUGCAGUCUGGGUGACUCACUGAGCUUCGACGAAAGACUGUGCCCAGGGAGGCAGUAUGAACUACCGGAUUCUGUUCCUGGCCCCACCAGUGUCCUGCUGGGUGAUCUUGGACAAAGCACUCUUCCACUCUGUACCUCAGAUUCCCGCAUCGUGAAAUGGGGAUAAUGAUUCCUACUUCCUUUGUAAAGUGUUUUGAAUUCUGUAGAUGAA
Mauremys mutica (yellowpond turtle) is the source of this 288-nucleotide long non-coding RNA. RefSeq lists it as uncharacterized. The record is from RefSeq and is a predicted model, not a curated record. The transcript has 3 exons. NCBI's taxonomy places the organism in Eukaryota, Metazoa, Chordata, Testudines, Geoemydidae.